UUCCUACGGGAGGCAGCAGUGAGGAAUAUUGGUCAAUGGAGGCAACUCUGAACCAGCCAUGCCGCGUGCAGGAAGACUGCCCUAUGGGUUGUAAACUGCUUCUAUACAGGAAGAAACUUAUCCACGUGUGGGUAACUGACGGUACUGUACGAAUAAGGACCGGCUAACUCCGUGCCAGCAGCCGCGGUAAUACGGAGGGUCCAAGCGUUAUCCGGAAUCAUUGGGUUUAAAGGGUCCGUAGGCGGGCGAUUAAGUCAGAGGUGAAAUCCCACAGCUCAACUGUGGAACUGCCUUUGAUACUGGUUGUCUUGAGUUACAGUGAAGUAGAUAGAAUAUGUAGUGUAGCGGUGAAAUGCAUAGAUAUUACAUAGAAUACCGAUUGCGAAGGCAGUCUACUAACUGUCGACUGACGCUAAGGGACGAAAGCGUGGGGAGCGAACAGGAUUAGAUACCCUGGUAGUCCACGCCGUAAACGAUGGUCACUAGUUGUUGGGGCAAUUGCCUCAGUGAUUAAGCGAAAGUGAUAAGUGACCCACCUGGGGAGUACGAUCGCAAGAUUGAAACUCAAAGGAAUUGACGGAA
RNAcentral lists this ribosomal RNA (582 nucleotides) under uncultured Actibacter sp. RNAcentral describes it as "bacterial SSU rRNA". It matches the Rfam family "Bacterial small subunit ribosomal RNA", at positions 336 to 918 of the family's 1533-position model. The record is from RNAcentral. Lineage: Bacteria; Pseudomonadati; Bacteroidota; Flavobacteriia; Flavobacteriales; Flavobacteriaceae.